Molecule: long non-coding RNA, 548 nt
Organism: Bombyx mori (domestic silkworm)
Lineage: Eukaryota; Metazoa; Arthropoda; Insecta; Lepidoptera; Bombycidae
Product: dynein light chain roadblock-type 2
Exons: 4
Source: RefSeq, a predicted model, not a curated record
UCAAACUGAUACUCUUCUGCAUAGAUUCUUUGAAAGGUGACUUUAGUCAUAUAGCAAAGAGUAUGUAACACUACGUUUUCACAUAGUUUCGCUUGAAUAACAGUGUGGAUACGAAGUUAAUUAAAAAUAAUGGAAAUCGCGCAGAAUUUCAUGGGUCCCGGCGCGACAAAAACUAUGAACAGGAUAAAUGAAAACGCAAAUGUUGUCGGCACCAUCAUUGUUAAUUGUGAAGGCUUCCCAGAGACGACUACGUUGGACAGUCUGACUGCGGCCACAUACUCAACUCACAUGAGAAGCCUUUCGCAUCACGCUUCUAACGCUUUAAAAGAAGUUGACGUUACCGACGAGCUGGUGGUUCUGAGAUUGGUGACAAAGAAGACAGAAGCCGUGGUUGUACCCGAUACCGAGUUCCACCUUAUUGUAGUCAUGCGGAGAGCGUAAUAUGUUUCUUAAGACAUCACUAGGCUAUGCCUUAAAAACUGCGCGAUGCCUUGAUAACUUUUGAUUUUAUUUAACAAAUUGUUGUUUUAUUAAAUGGUUUCUUUUAA